AAGGGGCUGAAUUCCGAAAAACCUGCUAAUUUUUUCUACCAGGACUAACACCCUGGGCUCCUUA
RNAcentral lists this transfer RNA (64 nucleotides) under Diplodactylus vittatus. RNAcentral's name for it is "tRNA-Ser". Lineage: Eukaryota; Metazoa; Chordata; Lepidosauria; Squamata; Diplodactylidae. The record is from RNAcentral.